AAUCUUCCGCAAUGGAAGCAAGUCUGACGGAGCAACGCCGCGGGAGCGAUAAAGGCCCUCCGGCCGUAAAACUCAGUUGUUAGGGAAGAACAAGACACGUUCGAAUAGGGCGGUACCUUGACGGAACCUAACGAACAAGCAACGGCGAACUACGUGUCAGCAGCCGCGGUAAUACGGAGGUGGCAAGCGUUCUCCGGAAUUAUUGGGCGUAAAGCGCGCGCCGGCGGUUUCUUAAGUCUGAUGUGAACGCCCACGGCUCAACCGUGGAGGGUCAUUGGAAACUGGGAAGCUUGAGUGCAGAAGAGGAGAGUGGAAUUCCAUGUGUAGCGGUGAAAUGCGUAGAGAUAUGGAGGAACACCAGUGGCGAAGGCGACUCUCUGGUCUGCAACUGACGCUGAGGCGCGAAAGCGUGGGGAGCGAACA
This 423-nucleotide ribosomal RNA is filed under the name uncultured bacterium. RNAcentral's name for it is "partial 16S ribosomal RNA". It matches the Rfam family "Bacterial small subunit ribosomal RNA", at positions 360 to 774 of the family's 1533-position model. The record is from RNAcentral.